CCUACGGGAGGCAGCAGUGAGGAAUAUUGGUCAAUGGACGGAAGUCUGAACCAGCCAUGCCGCGUGCAGGAUGACGGCUCUGUGAGUUGUAAACUGCUUUUGUACGGGAAUAAUAGCUCGUACGUGUAGGGAGUUGAGUGUAUCGUACGAAUAAGGAUCGGCUAACUCCGUGCCAGCAGCCGCGGUAAUACGGAGGAUUCGAGCGUUAUCCGGAUUUAUUGGGUUUAAAGGGUGCGUAGGCGGUUGGAUAAGUUAGAGGUCAAAGGCCGGGGCUUAACCCCGUGCCCGCCUCUGAAACUGUUAGACUAGAGAGCGGAUGAAGCAGGCGGAAUGAGUAGUGUAGCGGUGAAAUGCUUAGAUAUUACGCAGAACACCGAUUGCGAAGGCAGCUUGCUAACCCGCAUCUGACGCUGAUGCACGAAAGCGUGGGUAGCGAACAGGAUUAGAUACCCCGGUAGUC
RNAcentral lists this ribosomal RNA (460 nucleotides) under uncultured bacterium. RNAcentral's name for it is "partial 16S ribosomal RNA". It matches the Rfam family "Bacterial small subunit ribosomal RNA", at positions 338 to 795 of the family's 1533-position model. The record is from RNAcentral.